UGACGACAGAGGGGCCGCGGUGGACCAGGCCGAGAAAGCGGAAGGGCGAGGAUGGUAGUAACGCGAGAGCUAGAAGGAUGCGGAGAUCAGUGGGAAAAAUACCAGAAACAACAUUUUAAGAUGAAGAGACACAGGUGUUCUGAAGAUAAAUCAAUUUCCUUUGAGUACACAGGUCUGCAUGCCACCAGAAGAGAAAGGUGAUCAUCAGUAUCAUCCACUACAAACUCUACAACCUACAACGGUGACCUGCCUGCAAGAUGGAGUAGUGGCACAAAUGUUAUGGGGGUAAUGAACCACUUUUAAAAAUUGCAUUAAAGCCCACCCCAUGAGAUGAAACCCAUACCUGAUACUGAUAAAUUGGCCAAAAACCUGACACAAGAUAAGAGAUAUGACUAGAUGGAAACCUGCUACUAUUGUUGUGCUAAAGGAACACAGGAAUACACUAAUGCCUCAGGAUAGACACACUGCUGUACCUGUAGAUCAGUGCUUCAUUCAGCCUUCAUCAGAGAAACUUCUUGCUGUCUAUGGGAAUUAACACAGAAACCACAACUGGACAAUGUGGAGAGAGUGAGAGAACCUUUGCAACAUUCAUUCCUAAAUGGGAUGUCUUCAUCAAAGCUUUUCCUUCCUUCAGGAUUCUAGGACCUAUGCAGAAAAGAAGUCAGAAAGAGGGUAAGAGCCAGAGGUGGUGUAGAACUCCAAGACACAAGAGGAUCUAUAUUCAUGUGAACUCACAGGGAGAUUGUGACAGUAAAUACUCAAGACCAGCACGGGUUCAAACCAGAUGGGGUUCUAGCAUUGAGAAGUAGAAAAAGACAUGGGGUUACACCCUAACAAAGAAGCUAUCUGCAACUGUCAAAGAGAAAAUCAGUUUUCUCCAAUGAAAUCUUAAUGGGUAUAUCAACCACAUUCCAGUGUAGGCUCUGUGCCUAGGAGUAUCUGGCCAACACAAAAUCAGCUCUGUGGUAUUUUUAUGGAGCUUU
Long non-coding RNA from Mus musculus (house mouse), 983 nucleotides. RefSeq annotates it as predicted gene, 54141. The transcript has 3 exons. Lineage: Eukaryota; Metazoa; Chordata; Mammalia; Rodentia; Muridae. The record is from RefSeq and is a predicted model, not a curated record.